GGGCAUAAUCUAGGUUUCUGAAGUUUUCGUCCAGGAUAGAAAGCUGGGAUCUGCAGGGUUUCUUUUUCCCCUCUCUUGGUUGCUGUCUUAGGAGUUUUCUGAUGCUUGGAGCUGGUGAUAUUUGGAAGCGCUAUCACCAUCUUAAAAUUUUAGAAAAGGAUGUGGCCAAGACAGUGAAGGCACAAAGAAGAAAUGUGCAGAGAGCCGUGGUCCUGGAGGGUGUUGCCAGGCUGAGAAUCCGUCCUGCCUCUACCCGUCUCUGAAGACUCCAGUAUCAACCAGAUUCUUACUGGGAAGUACCAGCCAGAUAGUGGAAGCCGAAGUACCAGCAUGUGCCUUUUCUACACCAGGGAGUAAUGGCCAGCUGUUGCAAAGAUCCAACACUCUGGAAAAGACCUUGAUGCUGGGAAAGAUUGAGGGCAGGAGGAGAAAGGGGCAACAAAGGAUGAAAUGUUUGGAUGGCAUCCUUGACUCAGUAAACACCAGUUUGAGCAAACUCCAGGAGCUAGUACAGACUGGGAAUCCUGGCAUGUUGCAGUCCAUGUGAUCACAAAGCACCGGACAUGACUGAGCUACUGAACAACAACCCUAACAGAAAAUACGGAGUUAUUUAUGAUAUGUGUUAUGGGUAUGUACAAAUAUUUCAAAAUUAGGAAAUUAUUCAUUCUAUAUUUGAUUCAGACCAGAAUUGCACUUCUUAUGUUUGGACGAUGAUAUGUGAGAAUAAGAGCAAUUCACAGAAAAUCUCCAAUGUCAACUGUACUUAAUCUUGUUACACUAAAAUUUAAUCAAAUAACAAUAUAAGCUAAAUUUUGUUUGCUUCCGUAUGGUAUCUGACAUGGAUACCACGAAGAUAUCAAAUGGACAAACCCUUUCAAGGUAAAAAUAAAAGAAAUAGGAGCUUCUUAGUCAAAACUAAUUUAUACACUAAUGGAAGAUAAGUUUAUGACUUCAUUGAGUUACUUACCAAUUCCUAAAACAAGUCAUUUCAGUAUAUGAAAUGCAUGACUACAUAAGUAAAUACUGGUUUUUAUGGCUCUAUUAGUCAUUUAUUUUUAUGCCUUUGUAUAGUUUAUUGACCUCUUUCUCUAUAU
Molecule: long non-coding RNA, 1094 nt
Organism: Bubalus bubalis (water buffalo)
Lineage: Eukaryota; Metazoa; Chordata; Mammalia; Artiodactyla; Bovidae
Exons: 3
Source: RefSeq, a predicted model, not a curated record